RNAcentral lists this long non-coding RNA (2919 nucleotides) under Diabrotica virgifera virgifera (western corn rootworm). RNAcentral describes it as "uncharacterized LOC126888490". Lineage: Eukaryota; Metazoa; Arthropoda; Insecta; Coleoptera; Chrysomelidae. The record is from RNAcentral.
UAUAAGUGGACACCCGGUAUUAUUAGCGCCAUUUAUUGACAACUAGAUUAAAUGUUAUAAAUGUCAUCUACGAAAUGUAAUCAGCGACGUGCGUUUUUUUCUGUCACAUACAAUUUAAUGCGUUAGAGAGAAAUCGAAAAACUGUGACGCACUGAAAAAUGCUCAUGAAAAAAACCAUACCAGCAAUUGGGAUAAACCGUAAUCGUACCCCUUCCUAACUGCCAAAGUGUCAUGGCCGCCGUCGGGACCUAUUGUGCUGACAUUUACAAUGUUUACAUAUAGAAAAGUUUGUUUUUUUCUGCUUAUAAUGCCGUUUUCUAAAGAUAUUAGUGAACAAAAUCGAUUUGCUAACAAUAUUUAAUAUAUUUUAAAUGUGCUAAAAUUGGAUUCAACAGCAAAAGUCGCAUAAAUAACAUAUAAAUGACGAAUUUGUUUACCUAUUACAAAUGGGGUUAUGUGGUUGUAACUGUUUAUUUUGGGAAUAAAAUGAAAAUGAUCAAUUAAACGACUGGAAAACUAUAGUGAAGUGAAGAACAUCUUGAAGUUCCAAUGAUGUUUCAAGAUGAGAUAAAUCGAAAUAAUGGUUGUAUGUUAGAAGGACAGAGAAUACGAAGAAAUGUUAUUGCUGCAUACUUAGUGUAGUGAAAUACAAACUUCAAACAUUAUAAUAUAUUUUUUUAUUUCAAACAUUUCAUAUGAUUAUGAAAGAACAUCUUCCUCUUUAAAACAAUGAAGAAGUGAAGAACAUAAUAAAGUUCCAACGAAAAUGAUUCCAGAUGAGGAAAAUCGAAAUAAUGGUUGUAUGUUACGUGUAUAGAGAAUACGAAGAAAUGUUAUUGCUGCAAACUUAGUGUAGUGAAUUAAAAACUUAUUGUCAAAUACAAAUCAAUUUAUUUCAUACUUUUAUAAUAUAUAGUGGUACAAUUUUAUAUGUGUUCAAAUAAAAAUAUUAAUAAAUAAAAUACAAUAAACACAAAUCAUGUAUAUCUUACAAUGAAUUACAAAAUCAAAAAUUAAUUACAAAAAUAUCAAAAUAAAUCUAAAAUAUUAAAAAGUAACCCAUAAUUUUUAUAGUACCUACAUACUUUGGUUGGUACUCUAAUAAUUUGGAAAUCCAUUAAAGUUUGUAGAUGGAAAUUGCAGGUAUCUAAAAAAUAUAUAAAGUAACUCAACAAUCUCUUUUCAAUUAGGGUUGCAGUUGAUAAAGAUGAAUGACCCUUGCUCGGGAAAUCAAAUGUAUCUAAAAAAAAAUUAAGUAACAGCUUUCUAACAAAACAAUCUUAGCACUAAACGGAAACAAAGAUACUGGUAAGUAUUAAAACAUUUUUUGAAAAAUCUUUCUGAAAGUGAAAAUAAAGACUACUCUCUAUGGGAACAACUAAAACUGGGUAUGCUUUACAAAAAAAUGUAUCCAGAACAAACUUCUUCUCUAUAAGGCAAUACUACUACAAGUCUGGAUGUACAGGAUUUAAUUCUGGGGAACUGCCAGUAACACAUAAUAUGCAAAGACUACAAAGAUUCCAAUCCAAAGUCUUUCAUGAUGUCCGAUUUUUUUAUUACCACUACCAAAUAUCACGCUAAACUUAAAAUUCUUACAAUGAAGAUAGCUAAAGCUUGAGUACACAUAGAUAGAUCCAACCAAAUAAAUAAAAACAAUUAAUGUAUGUAAAAUGUAUGUUAGUCUUCUUCCACUUGCAGAAGAUAUUUUCAGUUGUUUGUGCCACUGUGAACUUAAGAUCUCUAAUAUUAACCGAUGAUAAAUUUAUGAAAACUGAUUUUAAAUAUUAAAAACUUUCAGAGAUAUUUCAAUUUUCGAAACAUCUUAUAAAAGAGUGAAAAAUAUUCAGAGACACCUUACAGCCAUAAACCAGUAAAACUAAAAUAUUUAAUGUUUUUGUAUAAAUUAAUAUUAAUAUUUAUGAACUUUUUAAAUAUAUCUUUAAAAAUUUUAUGAUAAAUAAAAUGUUUUUGAGUAAAGGCAAUAUUUUUUUUGUAUGGUAAUAGAAAAGAUUAAUAUUUGAAAUCAUAUACAGCAUCACAUUUUAUAAAUUAUAAUCUUUUUAUUAUAAAAAUAGUAAUACCGUGUGUCUACAGAUGGGGUGCCCAAGAGGAAAAACUUUUUUAUUUUCAAUUUUAGCGAAAAAUGUCAUUCUUGAUAAAAACUUUUGCUUGUUCUAAAACCCCAUAAAAUGAACUAAAAUUCAAGUUUUUCAAAUCCUGCUUAUUUUUAUAGCCAAUUUUAUGUAAAUCCCUAUAAAUUUUUGCACUAAGUUCGAAAUUGUAACAAUAAUAACUUGGGAGAACAACCCUUUCACUUCUCUGGAUUACGAAGCCAGACUUUGUCGUUCUCCUUGAAUCAUCCAAUUAUUUAUUAAUUAAAUAAUUAUUAAUACAACAAUUUUAAUAAUGAAAUUUAUCACAAGAUAAAUUCUUUAUUGAUAGCUUAAAAUUGUCAAAAAAAUUGACAAUUCGCAAAUGAUUUAUCGAAGUUGAUAGUUACUAAGCUACAUUGUGGCUUGGCAACACUAGAUUAUUGUUAAGAUUUCAAACUUAGUGCAAAAAUUUACAUAAAAUAGGGAUUUACAUAAAAUUGGCUACAAAAUUAAGCAGGAUUUAAAAAACUUGAAUUUUAUUUCGUUUUAUGGGGUUUUAGAACAAGCAAAACUUUUUAUCAAUAAUGACAUUUUUCGCUAAAAUUGAAAAUAAAAAAGUUUUUCCUCUUGGGCACCCCAACCGUGGACACACUGUAUAUAAUUAUAAUACUAAAAUCACAAUAAAGAUGCACUAGAAAGAAACGAACACAAGACAUGAUGAAUGUUAUGAGGAGCACUCACAAAUCAUGAUUUACAAAGUUUAUACAUUGUAAAUCGUGAUUCGGGAGUGCUAUUUGUAUCAUUCAACAUGUCUUGGGUUGUUUAU